UGUGAAAGAUGUCAUGCUUUUGCUGAGAAUUUUAUGUUGAUAUAUGAGUUUCUCACUAGAGUUAGUUUACAUGAUAAAAAGGGAAAUAUAUGUGAAAAAUGAGUUAUAUGAAGUAUGAGGUCAUUUUGAAUGAUUGAGUGUUUUAAGCAUGAAAUUGAGAAGAGGAUUUACUUGAUACGUUGUAGAAACGUUUUCCUUGAGAUUUGAGUUAAGAUGUAAAAGAGGAGAGUUAAUUUGAGUAUGAUGAGUAUUUUAAUGUUUUUGAAUGUUUUUGAGUGUUAUAUAUGUUUAAAAUGAACUUUGAUUGGCUUUCUUUGAAGGAAUGUUAAUUUGAGCAUUUAAGAGUUGGGAAUGAAUUUUUGGUGAUUUUUCGUAGGCUACUGACCUACUGUGAUCGACGGUUUGUCGAUAUCAAAAAGCUUUGAAAAUUUUACAGAAUGUCCCUACAUGAGUCUUGAGCACCUCUGUAAAUUUGCAAGUCAUUUGGACUUGAUUUACUAUUUUUAUAAAAUGCAAAACCAAAUCUGCACAUUUCUGCCGGGAAUUUCAGAGAACAGGGGACAAAGUCAUUCAUUUCAGUGACUUCCUGUGUGAAUUAGAUUUCCAAAUGUUUAUGGUAUCAACCUUACUGUAUGGGCUAGAUAUCCACCAAAUUUGAGCGCAGUUUGACAACGUUUACUAUUUUUCAAAAAUCAAUGUUUUCGAUUGCUCAAAACUGCCGAAUAUGGUAGACCGUGGUAAAAACGCCAUAUCUCCCAAACCACUUGGAGUUUCUGACUCUACUUUUUUUUAAAUGAAACUAGACUCAAAUACCUUUCGUUUGGUAUGAGUCUGGAGUCCAGGGGAUGUCGGAGUCAGAACGUGUUAAAUUUUGAAGUUGAGUCAGUGGGAAAACAGAGCAUGUUUUGUUGAUGUUUGCUUGUAUUUUCUUAUGUGCCUUAUGUGUUUAUGUUGCCUAAGUGUUUGAAUGAGAUUAGACGAGUCUUAUAUGAGAGAUAAAUCGAGACUUAGAACCAUGAUUUUCUUGAACCCUAUCCUUGGACUUAAGGAUUUGAAAUGAGUGAAGAGUUUAUGUAGAGUUGAUUAAGAGAUAGAAUAUAAUAUAGAGCAUGAGUUGAGGCAUGAGUUUUUGUCGUUGAGUUUCUAAUCGGGAUUCAUUUUAUGACAUGAACCUUCGAUGAUGACGAUGAUCCCUGAAGACACGAGCAGAGCAAGGAAGUAAGUAACUCCACUUUGACGGGAGUUUUUGAGUAAGGUCUUCAGGCUAAGCAAGGAGUGAGAUUGGUCUGGUGCUGGUGGGGGAUCGUUAGAUGACGUAUUUACUUUAUCGUAUUUCCUUUUUAUCGAUAAAGUCUUGAUGUGAAGUUACUUUAAAUAUGAAUCAAGUAAUAUACUCACGGUUAUGUGUCUCCAUACAUGUAACUGGUUCGCCUUUUGCUGCGAUACUCUGCAUAUUAUGUUUCCUUAUGAAAAAUAAGCUAUACCUGUUUUGUUUUUGUUCGUGAAAUUCCUGAUAAUUGAAAAGUUACAACGACGUUGACGAUUUUACCCUUGGGUUCAAUUAAUGAUAUUUUCCUUAGCAUGCUUUGAUGUGAGCUUCCGCUUGAUGUUCGACCUACUCUUCUAUUCCUUUAUUCUUUAAAAAUAGUCGUAUCGAUACUCGUACCCCACUAUUACUAGUGUCGGGAUUUCGGGCUGCGACAGGGUGGUAUCAGAGCAGGUCAUCUGCUCUGAGUCUAUUGCUUGACUGAGUUGAAUCUUUGAUUACUGGUAUCUUUUUAAAUUGAGUACUAGUCUAAUUUGAAUUCUUAGGCUAGUUUGAGAGAGUCAGUUUGAAACGAAACCCCAGCACCCCAUCUCCUCCGGCUUAACGAGGUAAGAGGUUGAUGUUGUUUCUUAUUGCUUUUCUGUUAAAAGCUGAGUUUGGGUUACUAAUGAGUUAUGAAUUGUUUUGAUGACGGAAUUAUUUGAGAUGAUGGAAUCUGAUAUGAGGCAGUUGAUGUGGAAUAUGAGGAGGAAUGUUGAGGCUAGUAUAGCCGAUGCCCCACCGUACCAAACAAGGACGAGAUGCCGAGUCAUAUCGAGACAGCGAUGCAGCGAUGGUUCAGGGAGUAUAUCCCGGACGAGGAUGACACCUUGGGUGAACUUCUAGCACACUAUCACCGACGAUGGAGGAGGGCUAUUCCCUAUGGGAUCGAUGGCGCGGAGGCCAUUACGCUUUUGAUUCCACUACUGCCACCUUUGUGGCGAGACUGGGCGACAUCUUUAGUGCCCCAGUACGUAGAUACUACCUGGUUGGAGGGCAUCAGGUACGGAGACCUUAGUGGCUUCAUCGCGACGCUGAGCCACCGUUAUUUUGCUUAUGGCGAUCCGCCUUCACCGCCGUAUGGAGAGCUUGAGGGACCAGUCCAGGGAAGGGAGCUAGUUGUUGUGCCUCCACCUCUCGAGGAGCCGAUUCUGAUGGCACCUCUACCCCCAGCUGAUCCGAUUUCAG
Long non-coding RNA from Salvia miltiorrhiza (redroot sage), 2494 nucleotides. RefSeq lists it as uncharacterized. The transcript has 3 exons. The record is from RefSeq and is a predicted model, not a curated record. NCBI's taxonomy places the organism in Eukaryota, Viridiplantae, Streptophyta, Magnoliopsida, Lamiales, Lamiaceae.